GAAGUAGGCUGUGAUUCAAUGAUACAUUAACAAGCACCGCAUCGAUUAUAUGCAAAGCGGGACAAGCUAGUUAACUAGUGAUUAUGUUAAGAUUUAUUUUAUAAAAAAACAGUUUAAUGCUAGCUAGCACCUUACCUUGGCUCCUUGCUGCACUCACAUAACAGGUAGUCAGCCUGCCACACAGUCUCCUUGUGGAGUGCAAUGUAAUCGGUGUCCAAAAAUGCCGAUUACCGAUUGUUAUGAAAACUUGAAAUCGGCCCUGAUUAAUCGUUGACCUCACCCCAGGGCCAAUCUACUUUUAACUGUUUAAGGUUUAUGAAAGUCUAGAUUGGAGGUGGGUUGGAAAAAAAUUCAAAAUGUAGCAGUAAUACUAUUCAAUAAUAAAAGUAAAAUAAUUAAAAUGCUUGUGUCUGGAUACAGCCCUUAGCCGUGGUAUAUCUGCCAUAUAACACAAACCCCAGAGGUGCCUUAUUGCUGUUUAUAAACUGGUUACCAACGUAAUUAGAACAGUAAAAAGUCAUUUUUGGUAAUACCCGUGGUAUACGGCUUUCAGCCAGCCAAUCAGCAUUCAGGGCUCGAACCACCCGGUUUAUAAUGACGUUUAUUACAAUCAUGUCUGCAAAUGAUAGGAAUUACAAUCCAAGAUAACCGCUUUUCAACGACAAAGUAUAGGAGGCACUUUGCAUUGUCUGUCACUUUUCUUAACUGAUCAUAAUGUAGACAGCAACUCGUCAAGUUCACUAGAACACAAUGUUGAACAUAAGGAAUCAGGCGGUAGGCUUAUGACCAUGGCUCAACGCAACGGUGUCUGAAAUCAAUGCAAUCUAGGCUGUUCAAAAGUAGUGCGCUGUAUAGGGAAUAGGGUACAAUUUGGGACCUGUCGACAGUUUCCUUGUUGACCCUGCUUUAGAGUAGAAUCUUGAACCUUAUGGACAUUUGUGUCAAAUCAAAAGUAUUUUUCUUCAACGUGUAAAAAAGAUAGAAAAUAUAGGGGGGAAAAAGACAAAUCCUCAAUAACUAACAGUUAAUUCUUCAUCGGGUCAAAAACCUCAUCUACAUUUUGAAUUGGCCCACAACUCUCUAAAAGUUCAGAAAGAGCAGUCUCUAUUGAUGGCACUUGUUCAUUCAGGUUUGAUUCAUCAAGCUCUUCGCAAGCAGUUCCCUCAUGCAUCUCUUCAAUGGCUCUUGGUCUUCCUCUCCUCCUUCUUGUGGCCUUCCUUUUGGUCCCCCUGUCCUCCUCUUCCCACUGUUCAUUCAGGUUGGAUCCAUCAUGCUCUUUAUUCACACUUCCCGCAUACAUCUCUCUGGUGGUCCCUGGUCUCAUUCUCGGCCUGCCUAUUGGUCUGCCUGUAGUCUUGUUGCUACCACCCUCUUCUGCCCCUGGGUUGAAGUCUGAGUCACUGUUGCGCUCACUCUCCCCCAACUCCUCAUAAUCAAAGGUCAGGCGUUUCCUCUUCCUCCCUGCCCUCUUCACUCUUUCCUGCCCAGACCCUGCAUUUGUCUUUCGACUCUCCUCGGUCACUACCCGUUGUUCAGUCAAAGUCUCAGAGUUUGAGACUGGCUCCUGUUUCUUCUCCUUGGUCCCAGAGGCAGGGUCCGGAUGGUAGUGCUGGACGUGGCUUUUCAGACUCACGUUGUGGUUGAAGGACUUGCCGGCACUUGUACGGCCGCUCGCCCGUGUGAAGGCGCAUGUGAGACUUGAGAAUUGAAGGUGCAAGUUGGGCCAGUUGAGGAGUCAGUCAGAGCGUCAGUGGAUGUGCCAGUAGUGGUGCCAGUUGUGGUGCCAAUCGAAGCAUCAGUUGUGCCAGUCGAUGCUGCUGAAGAGGACAGGUAUCUAGCUGGGAGGUUAAAGGGCUGGCUCUUCCAUUGGCUCCGGUGGUCACAGUGGUUGCAGAACUGGUUGAUGGUGAGCAGGGUAUCUUGGAUGAACUUGUCGAUGCUGCAGGAGCUGCGACAGACCGGACAAGUCUUGAACAAUGGAAGGAGGCAUUCUUCAAAGACCACGUACUUCCUGGCCAUGUACACCGCAACAGAGUGUAAACUGGAAGAAAAUUAUUUAUUUAUAAUCACAAGCUAUGACAGAUUAGGAUUUGCAAGCAGGCCAGACAGUGAGACAGGUCAAAAGUCAUUAUGCAUAUUUGUAUGACAAUUUUCAGCUGAGUAGUUGCUCAUAUUACUUAGGCUAUGGGCCCAACAUUCAUUAGCCAAUUAAUUUACAAUAGUUUCCCACUUUAACAAAAAUAAAUGUAGAGUUGAAGUUGGAAGUUUAUACACCUUAGCCAAAUACAAUUAAACUCAGUUUCACAAUUCCUGACAUUUAAUCCUGGUAAAAAUUCCCUGUUUUAGGUCAGUUAGGAUCACUACAUUAUUUUAAGAAUGUGAAAUGUCAAUAAUAGGAGAGAAUUAUUUAAUUUAAUCUUUUAUCACAUUCCCAGUGGGUCAGAAGUUUACAUACACUCAUCUGGUAGCAUUGCCUUUAAAUUGUUUAACGUCGGUCAAACGCUUCAGGUAGCCUUCCACAAGCUUCCCACAAUAACUUGGGUGAAUUUUGGCCAAUUCCUCCUGACAGAGCUGGUGUAACUGAGUCAGGUUUGUAAGCCUCCUUGCUCACACAAGCUUUUUCAGUUCUGUCCACAAAUUUUCUAUAGGAUUGAGGUCAGGGCUUUGUGAUGGUCACUCCAAUACCUUGACUUUGUUGUCCUUAAGCCAUUUUCCACAACUUUGGAAGUAUGCUUGGGGUCAUUGUCCAUUUGGAAGACCCAUAUGCGACCAAGCUUUAACUUCCUGACUGAUGUCUUGAGAUGCUGCUUCAAUAUAUCCACAUGAUUUUCCUACCUCAUGAUGCCAUCUAUUUUGUGAAGUGCACCAGUCCCUCCUGUAGCAAAGCACCACCACAACAUGAUGCUGCCACCCCCGUGCUUCAUGGUUGGGAUGGUGUUCUUCAGUUUGCAAGCCUCCCUCUUUUUCCUCCAAACAUAACGAUGGUCCUUAUGGCCAAACAGUUAUAUUUUUGUUUCAUCAGACCAGAGGACAUUUCUCCAAAAAGUAUGAUCUUUGUCCCCAUGUGCAGAUGCAAACUGUAGUCUGGCAUUUUUAUGGCGGUUUUGGAGCAGUGGCCUCUUCCUUGCUGAGCAGCCUAUGUCGAUAUGGUACUCGUUUUACUGUGGAUAUAGAUACUUUUGUACUUGUUUCCUCCAGCAUCUUCACAAGGUCCUUUGCUGUUGUUCUGGGAUUGAUUUGCACUUUUCGCACCAAAGUACGUUCAUCUCUAGGAGACAGAACGCGUCUCCUUCCUGAGCGGUAUGACAGCUGUGUGGUCCCAUGGUGUUUAUACUUGCGUACUAUUAUUUGUACAGAUGAACGUGGUACCUUCAGGCAUUUGGAAAUUGCCCCAAGGAUGAACCAGACUUGUGGAGGUCUACAAUUUCAUUUUCUGAGGUCUUGGCUGAUUUCUUUUGAUUUCCCAUGAUGUCAAGCAAAGAGGCACUGAGUUUGAAGGUUGGCCUUGAAACACAUCCACAGGUACACCUCCAAUUGACUCAAAUGAUGUCAAUUAGCCUAUCAGAAGCUUCUAAAGUCAUGACAUCAAUUUCUGGAAUUUUCCAAGCUGUUUAAAGGCACAGUCAACUUAGUGUAUGUAAACUUCUGACCCACUGGAAUUGUGAUACAGUGAAUUAUAAGUGAAAUAAUCUGUCUGUAAACUAUUGUUGGAAAAAUGACUUGUGUCAUGCACAAAGUAGAUGUCGUAACGGACUUGCCAAAACUAUAGUUUGUUAACAAGAAAUUUGCGUAGUGGUUGAAAAAUGAGUUUUAAUGACUCCAACCUAAGUGUAUGUAAACUUCUGACUUCAACUGUAUAUACCGGUUCACUUCCUUCGGUGGUAUGUCCUCCGUAAAGGAAGUAUUGACUACGACAUUCUUCCGGAUUGGCCAGACUUGGACAGCUGUAAAAUCAGACACAAAACAAAACAAUACAGCAGCAUGUAAACACCAAUUCAUUCCAGCUGUAAUUGAAAAGGAGGAAACCAUUCUACAAAAAAGAUACGAGCCAUAACACUCACCUUUGUUUUUCUUUUCUUCUCUGUAAUAAUAAGCCUGUGUUGACACGUUUUGUUUUAGCGGUACCACAGCGCAUCUUGGAGGUGAUGGUACUGUAAUGUUGCAUGUUGUUGUUUCAUAUUUUGUCGUCACGCCCAACGUCAUGUUUUCCACCUAAACAAGACAACAUAAACAACAUCUUAUCAACUAUAACAACAGGGGGUUUGCAAUAUUUGGCGAAAUAUUUUCUUUACCCUUCACUGAUAUUGAGAAUGAACGCUCGCCCACACAACGCCAAACACGUGGUCAGUGCUUGUGAGGCAGGUUGGACAUACUGACAAAUUCUGGAAAAUGACCUUGGAGGCAGUUGAUGGUAGAGAAAUUAAAAUUCAAUUCUCUGGCAACAGCUCUGGUGGACAUUCCUGCAGUCAGCAUGCCAAUUGUACCCUCCCUCAAAACAUCUGUGGCAUUGUGCUGUGUGACAAAACUGCACAUUUUAGAGUGGCUUUUUAUUGUCCCCAGCACAAGGUGCACCUGUGUAAUGAUCAUGGUGUUUAAUCAGCUUCUUGAUAUGCCACUCCUGUCAGGUGGAAGGAUUAUCUUCACAAAGAAGAAAUGCUCACUAACAGGGACGUAAACUAAUUUGUGUACAAUUUGAGAGAACGUUUUGGGGAUUUUUUAUUUCAACUCACAAAACAUGGGACUGCAUGUUUUACAUUUUUGUUUAGUGUAGAUGCUAAAUGAACUGUUGAGUUGCGACUGUCAGUGAAAAGUAGAGCGGCCCAGACAGGCAUAUUGCAAUAUUUCAAAAUACAAUUGCGGGAAAAUGAAGUUUGGAGAGCAAAAUGGCUAAAAGUCUUUUAGUUGGGUUACUGUUGUUCGCUCAACUAUCUUACUGGCACCAGCGGAGAGCGUCGGCCAAAUCCCCGGUACUGCACUACACUAACACCUUCACUCUAUUUCGUGAACUGUAUUGUUGGUUAAGGGCUUGUAAGUCAGCAUUUCACUGUCUACACCUGUUGUAUUCGGUGCAUGUGACAAAUAAAAUUGUAUUUCUCAUUGUUGGGUCAGUGCCACUUAAAGUUUGUUUUUGGACAUUAACUUCCUUGUCCAGUUGAGACGGACGUCAUAUUCUAUUAGCGUCUCCCCUUCUCGUAGGACCUAUUAUAUGGACAAUGUUUUUACUGAUCUGUUUGUCAGUAUCAGCAGAGUAGGCUACCCUGUCAUUUAUCGUAUUAAAAAAAGUAGUCUGCUAAUGUCUCCAGUCUUUUUUUCUUUCUUUUUUAACUUUAUUUAACGAGGCAAGUCAGUUAAGAACAAAUUCUUAUUUUCAGUGACGGCCUAGUGGGUUAACUGCCUUGUUCAGGGACAGAACGACAGAUUUGUACCUUGUCAGCUAGGAGAUUCGAACUUGCAACCAUUCGGUUACUAGUCCAACGCUCUAACCACUAGGCUACGCUGCCGCUCCAUAUAAAGUGUAGUAGGGUUGAAUGAAAAGCCACAUUUUUCAUGUGCAAAGAAAGAAACGUAUCUGAUGUAGCCUAGUCCUACUCUAUGCUAUAGGCGCUCAGACAUGCAUUGAACCCUCUUUUUUUGCCAACAGUGAUUGAGUUAUACGAUUAGCUUAAAUUAUGACUAUCCAAUCUACUCAUCACAUUACAAAUAGGUGGCUCCCUUACAUAAGUAUGCAAAUGUGAUGAUGCAUGGAAUGCUUUAUUACUAAAACAUCCAUUUUGAUGGUGAAAAAUUAGUUUCCCAAAACUUAUGCCCCGCCUAUGCUGUCAACAUUAGACCUGUCUGAGCUUGUAUGUCUCACAGCGUCUGUCUUAAGAAGGCUCCCGCUGGUGCCAGACCCUAUAGGCUCCCGAGUGGCGCAGCCGUCCAAGGCACUGCGUCUCAGUGCUAGAGGAGUCACUACAAACCCUGGUUCAAGUCCAGGCUGUGUCAUAACCAGCCAUGAUUGGGAGUCCCAUAGGGUGGCGCACAAUUGGCCCAGCGUCAUUAGGGUUUAGCCGGGGUAGACCGUUAUUGUAAAUAAGAAUGUUCUUAACCGACUUGCCUAGUUAAAUAAAAAAUAUUUCAAAUUUUAGAGCACCAGCAGCAUACCACCUUGCUGGCUGGCCUCUGAGGCUAAGCAGGGUUGGUCCCUGGAUGGGAGACCAGAUGCUGCUGGGAAUGGUGUUGGAGGGCCAGUAGGAGGUAAUCUUUCCUCUGGGCUGAAAAAAUAUAUAUAUAUAUCCCAAUGCCCCAGGGCAGUGAUUGGGGACAUUGCCUUGUGUCGGGUGCUGUCUUUUGGACGGGAUGUUAAACGGGUGACCUGAGUCUCUGUGGUCACUAAAGAUCCCAUGGUGCUUAUCGUAAGAGUAGGGGUGUUAACCCCGGUGUCCUGGCUAAAUUCCCAAUCUGGCCCUCAUACCAUCAUGGCCACCUAAUCAUCCCCAGCUUCCAAUUGACUCAUUCAUCCCCCCCUCCUCUCCCCUGUAACUAU
RNAcentral lists this long non-coding RNA (6526 nucleotides) under Salmo salar (Atlantic salmon). Its description in RNAcentral is "lncRNA (ENSSSAG00000089698.1)". The record is from RNAcentral. Lineage: Eukaryota; Metazoa; Chordata; Actinopteri; Salmoniformes; Salmonidae.